This 468-nucleotide ribosomal RNA is filed under the name uncultured bacterium. RNAcentral's name for it is "partial 16S ribosomal RNA". It matches the Rfam family "Bacterial small subunit ribosomal RNA", at positions 28 to 507 of the family's 1533-position model. The record is from RNAcentral.
GACGAACGCUGGCGGCGUGCUUAACACAUGCAAGUCGAACGGAAAGGCCCUGCUUUUGUGGGGUGCUCGAGUGGCGAACGGGUGUGUAACACGUGAGUAACCUGCCCUUGACUUUGGGAUAACUUCAGGAAACUGGGGCUAAUACCGGAUAGGAGCUCCUGCUGCAUGGUGGGGGUUGGAAAGUUUCGGCGGUUGGGGAUGGACUCGCGGCUUAUCAGCUUGUUGGUGGGGUAGUGGCUUACCAAGGCUUUGACGGGUAGCCGGCCUGAGAGGGUGACCGGCCACAUGGGGACUGAGAGACGGCCCAGACUCCUACGGGAGGCAGCAGUGGGGAAUAUUGCACAAUGGGCGGAAGCCUGAUGCAGCAACGCCGCGUGCGGGAUGACGGCCUUCGGGUUGUAAACCGCUUUCGCCUGUGACGAAGCGUGAGUGACGGUAAUGGGUAAAGAAGCACCGGCUAACUACGUG